RNAcentral lists this transfer RNA (87 nucleotides) under Micrococcus luteus. RNAcentral's name for it is "tRNA-Leu". It matches the Rfam family "tRNA". From Rfam's summary of the family: Transfer RNA (tRNA) molecules are approximately 80 nucleotides in length. Their secondary structure includes four short double-helical elements and three loops (D, anti-codon, and T loops). Further hydrogen bonds mediate the characteristic L-shaped molecular structure. tRNAs have two regions of fundamental functional importance: the anti-codon, which is responsible for specific mRNA codon recognition, and the 3' end, to which the tRNAs corresponding amino acid is attached (by aminoacyl-tRNA synthetases). tRNAs cope with the degeneracy of the genetic code in two manners: having more than one tRNA (with a specific anti-codon) for a particular amino acid; and 'wobble' base-pairing, i.e. permitting non-standard base-pairing at the 3rd anti-codon position. The record is from RNAcentral. RNAcentral also lists the same sequence under 3 other names. Lineage: Bacteria; Bacillati; Actinomycetota; Actinomycetes; Micrococcales; Micrococcaceae.
GCGCGAGUGGCGGAAUUGGUAGACGCGCUGGCUUCAGGUGCCAGUGUUCGCAAGAACGUGGGGGUUCAAGUCCCCCCUCGCGCACCG